UUCUUUUAUCUUUUUAUUUUUUCCAUCUUUAUGGAUAACUUAAACUCCAUACCUAUUAUUGAAUUUUUUGCACCUUCGGAGACCAGCCAUAGACCAUGGGAGUCAACAAGUCCUGCCCCUAAUUAUGAUCAGUGUCCGGAGUUGAUUGCAAUAGGUCAAAACCAACCCUUUUCUAUAGCCGAGGUCGUAUCUUUUAAUCAAGAAGGUAAUGAAAUUUUAGCUACACCUAGGGAAUCUUUUAAUCUUUCU
RNAcentral lists this long non-coding RNA (249 nucleotides) under Sorghum bicolor (sorghum). RNAcentral's name for it is "long non-coding RNA (SBIC_LNC013066)". Lineage: Eukaryota; Viridiplantae; Streptophyta; Magnoliopsida; Poales; Poaceae. The record is from RNAcentral.